RNAcentral lists this non-coding RNA (29 nucleotides) under Cricetulus griseus (Chinese hamster). Lineage: Eukaryota; Metazoa; Chordata; Mammalia; Rodentia; Cricetidae. The record is from RNAcentral.
GUAAGCAUUCUUGACUGCAGAGCCAUCUC